AAAUAUUGUAAAUUAUAGUUAUUUGGCUCACGGAGGAAGUAAACAGUUUUAUGCUUCUUCCUUUAAAAUGGACUUUCCACAAUGAGGGAAAUAUUGGCAGAAACGUGCGAUGCUUUUUGGGAGGUACUUGGGCCAAUUUAUUUGUCGAUUCCUAAGAAGGAUGAGCGUAUGGAAGCGUAUCGCAAUCGAUUUUAAUUCCAUGUGGAAUUUACCCAAUUGUAUUGGUGCAAUUGAUGGCAAGCACAUAAACAUAUUUUGCCCAUCAAACUCUGGUUCCGCUUUUUAUAAUCCAUUCCAUUUCUGCUGGCGGUGUGUGAUGCAAAUUAUACUUUCACUUGCAUUGAUAUUGGAGCUUACGCCUCGCAAAGUGAUGGUGUCAUUUUAUGGAAUUCUGGCUUUGGGACACAGCUCUGUAGUGGAAAACUGGAUCUUCCUGAAAACGGUGUGCUACCAGACUAUGACUUUUCCCCAUUAUUUUGUUGGAGAUAAUGCGUUCCCGUUAAAGCCAUUUUUAAUGAGGAACCAACUUAUCUCUGGAGAGGCAAAUUUUUAACAAACGUUUAUCUCGAGCACGCUGUGUUAUAGAAAAUGCAUUUGGGAUUUUGGCUUGUCGAUGGAGAAUCCUUUUAAAUCCCUUACAAAUGAGCCCUUCAUCAGCCGAGAAAAUUGUAAAGGCUGCUGUGCUAAUACACAAUUUUCUCAAGAUGCACGAUGGUAGCUAUUCCCCGCCGGAAUAUGUUGACCAGGAGGACGGCGACUCUAUCAGAAGAGGAUUGUGGCGGAGUGAUAUUUCGAUCCCCUUGCAAAGAGCUAGGCGUAUAGGUUCGAACAAUGCUUUACAAAAUGCGUUUAAGUUAACAGCUGAUCUGAAGAGUUACCUUGUAUCCCAUCCAAUUCAAAGGAUGGCACAAUAAAGAAAAAGCCUCAAGAGGGCCAAGAUGAUUUUGCCAAGCGGAGACGCAAAACAUGAUGGCAUGCAAGGACAAAAACAAUACAAAUCAAAGAUUCAAACAGUAUACAAAAUCACCGAAAGUUCACCGAAUUUUCAUUAAAAGUUUAAAUUUUUUAAUAAAAAAUGUCUGGUAUGCAGUUUCAUAGCCCAUACAAUUUUAGUACAAUAAUGUGCAAAUUUGAAGUGGCUAAAGACUAUCGAGUGUUGCGCAUUUCCUCCAUGAACGAAAUGAAAAAACUAAAAAAUCAACGGUAAUCUUUAGCUAAUUGAAACUUGCACUUUAUUAUACUAG
This is a long non-coding RNA of Rhagoletis zephyria (snowberry fruit fly), 1244 nucleotides long. RefSeq lists it as uncharacterized. NCBI's taxonomy places the organism in Eukaryota, Metazoa, Arthropoda, Insecta, Diptera, Tephritidae. The record is from RefSeq and is a predicted model, not a curated record.